GGGGCUGUGGCUCAGUGGUAGAACAUCUGCUUGGCAAGCAGAAAGUUCCAGACUUAAUCCCUGGCAUCUCCA
Molecule: transfer RNA, 72 nt
Filed under: Sphaerodactylus townsendi
Lineage: Eukaryota; Metazoa; Chordata; Lepidosauria; Squamata; Sphaerodactylidae
Description: tRNA-Ala
Rfam family: tRNA
About the family: Transfer RNA (tRNA) molecules are approximately 80 nucleotides in length. Their secondary structure includes four short double-helical elements and three loops (D, anti-codon, and T loops). Further hydrogen bonds mediate the characteristic L-shaped molecular structure. tRNAs have two regions of fundamental functional importance: the anti-codon, which is responsible for specific mRNA codon recognition, and the 3' end, to which the tRNAs corresponding amino acid is attached (by aminoacyl-tRNA synthetases). tRNAs cope with the degeneracy of the genetic code in two manners: having more than one tRNA (with a specific anti-codon) for a particular amino acid; and 'wobble' base-pairing, i.e. permitting non-standard base-pairing at the 3rd anti-codon position.
Source: RNAcentral